UACUAGUUCUUCUGUUUCUUCCUCUUCCUCAUCCCCUUCCAAAGCAUCAUCAAUGGCAUCUCCCAUCACCUCACUCACCAUUUCCAUCUUUUCAUUUUGCAUCUCAAAUUCUUGCAUUAUUCUCUGCAAUGCCGGCAAAUUCAUCUGCCUGUUCAUCUGUCCCAUUGCCUUUGUAACGCCUUUCAUUGCUUCACCCAUUGCUUGUGUUGAUUUCAAAGUCUGAAUUCUGAGGGAGACACCUUGAAGUUGGGACUUAAGCUUGUAAAAUUUUUCAAUCUGAUGCCUUGUUCUAAUAAGAUCUUUCGCCAUCACCUUCACAGCUCCCAUCUGUCCUUGCUUUGCACUUUUCUUUAUCUCUGCAAUUAGUUUCUUUUCUUGAGCCUGUAGACCUUGCCUCUCCCUCUCUAUCUCUCUAAUGGAUUUAUCCAGCAUCCUCUUAUUUUCCCGCAGAAGUUCUGCGGGGCUUUUUCUCUUUCCGAAGAGGAAACUCAUGUCUAAGUAGCGGAUGAACAAUUUCGAUUCUACCAGCAGUGACGGGGACAAAAUUGAUCGGAUCUGAUGGGGUCUCAGUCUCAGAUAUUGAGAGAUUGCUUGCGGUGCUGAUGCUUAACGUAGUAACAGUCCCGCUUUUCCUUCUUUCUAUUUACGCUCUGUUUGAG
RNAcentral lists this unclassified non-coding RNA (659 nucleotides) under Hevea brasiliensis (rubber tree). The record is from RNAcentral. Lineage: Eukaryota; Viridiplantae; Streptophyta; Magnoliopsida; Malpighiales; Euphorbiaceae.